UACAGAGGGGGCGAGCGUUGUUCGGAAUUACUGGGCGUAAAGGGCGCGUAGGCGGCCUGUUAAGUCGGACGUGAAAUCCCUCGGCUCAACCGGGGAACUGCGUCCGAUACUGGCGGGCUUGAAUUCGGGAGAGGGAUGUGGAAUUCCAGGUGUAGCGGUGAAAUGCGUAGAUAUCUGGAGGAACCCCGGUGGCGAAGGCGGCCAUCUGGACGGAUACUGACGCUGAGACGCGAAAGCGUGGGUAGCAAACAGG
Molecule: ribosomal RNA, 253 nt
Filed under: uncultured bacterium
Lineage: Bacteria
Description: partial 16S ribosomal RNA
Rfam family: Bacterial small subunit ribosomal RNA
Source: RNAcentral